UACGGGGGGGGCAAGCGUUGUUCGGAAUUACUGGGCGUAAAGGGCUCGUAGGCGGUCAACUAAGUCAGACGUGAAAUCCCCAGGCUCAACCUGGGAACUGCGUCUGAUACUGGAUGGCUUGAAUUCGGGAGAGGGAUGCAGAAUUCCAGGUGUAGCGGUGAAAUGCGUAGAUAUCUGGAGGAAUACCGGUGGCGAAGGCGGCAUCCUGGACCGACAUUGACGCUGAUGAGCGAAAGCUAGGGGAGCAAACGGG
Molecule: ribosomal RNA, 253 nt
Filed under: uncultured bacterium
Lineage: Bacteria
Description: partial 16S ribosomal RNA
Rfam family: Bacterial small subunit ribosomal RNA
Source: RNAcentral